GGUUAACCGUAUAGGGGAGCCGUAGGGAAACCGAGUCUUAACCGGGCGUUAAGUUGCAGGGUAUAGACCCGAAACCCGGUGAUCUAGCCAUGGGCAGGUUGAAGGUUGGGUAACACUAACUGGAGGACCGAACCGACUAAUGUUGAAAAAUUAGCGGAUGACCUGUGGCUGGGGGUGAAAGGCCAAUCAAACCGGGAGAUAGCUGGUUCUCCCCGAAAGCUAUUUAGGUAGCGCCUCGUGAAUUCAUCUCCGGGGGUAGAGCACUGUUUCGGCUAGGGGGCCAUCCCGGCUUACCAACCCGAUGCAAACUGCGAAUACCGGAGAAUGUUAUCACGGGAGACACACGGCGGGUGCUAACGUCCGUCGUGAAGAGGGAAACAACCCAGACCGCCAGCUAAGGUCCCAAAGUCAUGGUUAAGUGGGAAACGAUGUGGGAAGGCCCAGACAGCCAGGAUGUUGGCUUAGAAGCAGCCAUCAUUUAAAGAAAGCGUAAUAGCUCACUGGUCGAGUCGGCCUGCGCGGAAGAUGUAACGGGGCUAAACCAU
RNAcentral lists this ribosomal RNA (545 nucleotides) under Salmonella enterica. Its description in RNAcentral is "partial 23S ribosomal RNA". It matches the Rfam family "Bacterial large subunit ribosomal RNA", at positions 644 to 1190 of the family's 2925-position model. The record is from RNAcentral. RNAcentral also lists the same sequence under 2 other names. Lineage: Bacteria; Pseudomonadati; Pseudomonadota; Gammaproteobacteria; Enterobacterales; Enterobacteriaceae.